This 497-nucleotide ribosomal RNA is filed under the name uncultured bacterium. Its description in RNAcentral is "partial 16S ribosomal RNA". It matches the Rfam family "Bacterial small subunit ribosomal RNA", at positions 28 to 507 of the family's 1533-position model. The record is from RNAcentral.
GAUGAACGCUGGCGGCGUGCCUAAUACAUGCAAGUCGAGCGAACGGACGAGAAGCUUGCUUCUCUGAUGUUAGCGGCGGACGGGUGAGUAACACGUGGAUAACCUACCUAUAAGACUGGGAUAACUUCGGGAAACCGGAGCUAAUACCGGAUGAUAUUUUGAACCGCAUGGUUCAAAAGUGAAAGACGGUCUUGCUGUCACUUAUAGAUGGAUCCGCGCUGCAUUAGCUAGUUGGUAAGGUAACGGCUUACCAAGGCAACGAUGCAUAGCCGACCUGAGAGGGUGAUAGGCCACCCGGGAACGGGGACACGGUCCAGAGUCCUACGGGAGGCAGCAGUAGGGAAUCGUACACAAUGGGCGAAAGCCUGACGGAGCAACGCCGCGUGAGUGAUGAAGGUCUUCGGAUCGUAAAACUCUGUUAUUAGGGAAGAACAUAUGUGUAAGUAACUGUGCACAUCUUGACGGUACCUAAUCAGAAAGCCACGGCUAACUACGUG